RNAcentral lists this ribosomal RNA (497 nucleotides) under uncultured bacterium. Its description in RNAcentral is "partial 16S ribosomal RNA". It matches the Rfam family "Bacterial small subunit ribosomal RNA", at positions 28 to 507 of the family's 1533-position model. The record is from RNAcentral.
GAUGAACGCUGGCGGCGUGCCUAAUACACGCAAGUCGAGCGAACGGACGAGAAGCUUGCUUCUCUGAUGUUAGCGGCGGACGGGUGAGUAACACGUGGAUAACCUACCUAUAAGACUGGGAUAACUUCGGGAAACCGGAGCUAAUACCGGAUAAUAUUUUGAACCGCAUGGUUCAAAAGUGAAAGACGGUCUUGCUGUCACUUAUAGAUGGAUCCGCGCUGCAUUAGCUAGUUGGUAAGGUAACGGCUUACCAAGGCAACGAUGCAUAGCCGACCUGAGAGGGUGAUCGGCCACACUGGAACUGAGACACGGUCCAGACUCCUACGGGAGGCAGCAGUAGGGAAUCUUCCGCAAUGGGCGAAAGCCUGACGGAGCAACGCCGCGUGAGUGAUGAAGGUCUUCGGACCGUAAAACUCUGUUAUUAGGGAAGAACAUAUGUGUAAGUAACUGUGCACAUCUUGACGGUACCUAAUCAGAAAGCCACGGCUAACUACGUG